AAAAGUCGGCCAUCUUUUUUUAUUUGCAGAUUCGGAUCGAAUUUUUAGUAAACCGACCAAAAUACCCUUAUACCUUUUUCUCUCCCCUUUUUUUUUCUCACGUUCUUUUUUUUUUCUCGCCGAAGAAGGCGACGGAGGCGAAGGCGGAAACGACCCCCAUCGUCUCUGCACCUCACGCCCUCACCAUCACCCUCGCCCACGCACCCCUCGCCUGGCCUACUCGCCUCCGACCCCGCCGAAGUCGCGCUGCGACCCUCUUUUUUUUUUCCUCUCUGACCCUCCUCCACCACCGCUGCGGCCCUCUGCGAUAAUAACGAGGACGGUAACACGUCCUCUUCCUCCGCCUUUGCCCUCUACUUUCACUGCAACGAAUUUUCUACCUGCCAAACAAACCCGCCGUCCCCACUCCCGCUGCUGGCAAGGAAGAGGAAAUG
Molecule: long non-coding RNA, 434 nt
Filed under: Ananas comosus (pineapple)
Lineage: Eukaryota; Viridiplantae; Streptophyta; Magnoliopsida; Poales; Bromeliaceae
Description: long non-coding RNA (ACOM_LNC036022)
Source: RNAcentral